This 253-nucleotide ribosomal RNA is filed under the name uncultured bacterium. Its description in RNAcentral is "partial 16S ribosomal RNA". It matches the Rfam family "Bacterial small subunit ribosomal RNA", at positions 524 to 776 of the family's 1533-position model. The record is from RNAcentral.
GACGUAGGGGGCGAGCGUUGUCCGGAUUUAUUGGGCGUAAAGGGUGCGUAGGCGGCGCGGUAAGUCGGGUGUGAAAUCUCGGAGCUUAACUCCGAAACUGCAUUCGAUACUGCCGUGCUUGAGGACUGGAGAGGAGACUGGAAUUUACGGUGUAGCGGUGAAAUGCGUAGAUAUCGUAAGGAAGACCAGUGGCGAAGGCGGGUCUCUGGACAGUUCCUGACGCUGAGGCACGAAGGUCAGGGGAGCAAACGGG